Molecule: transfer RNA, 75 nt
Filed under: Nephroselmis pyriformis
Lineage: Eukaryota; Viridiplantae; Chlorophyta; Nephroselmidophyceae; Nephroselmidales; Nephroselmidaceae
Rfam family: tRNA
About the family: Transfer RNA (tRNA) molecules are approximately 80 nucleotides in length. Their secondary structure includes four short double-helical elements and three loops (D, anti-codon, and T loops).
Source: RNAcentral
UCGUGCCCGAGUGGUCUAAGGGGUUGGACUCGAAAUCCAAUGUGCUCCGCACGCGCAGGUUCAAACCCUGCCGAC